UGUUGCUGACUACAAGAGAUGAGAGUGCGCA
RNAcentral lists this non-coding RNA (31 nucleotides) under Homo sapiens (human). The record is from RNAcentral. Lineage: Eukaryota; Metazoa; Chordata; Mammalia; Primates; Hominidae.